UAGGGAAUUUUCGUCAAUGGGCGCAAGCCUGAACGAGCAAUGCCGCGUGAACGAGGAAGGUCUUCGGAUCGUAAAGUUCUGUUGAAGGGGAAAAAGAGCGGAGAGAGGAAAUGCUUUCCGAUUGAUAUUACCCUUCGAGGAAGUCACGGCUAACUACGUGCC
This 162-nucleotide ribosomal RNA is filed under the name uncultured bacterium. RNAcentral's name for it is "partial 16S ribosomal RNA". It matches the Rfam family "Bacterial small subunit ribosomal RNA", at positions 355 to 509 of the family's 1533-position model. The record is from RNAcentral.